CACACACAGCAGUGGCAGUAUCAUAGCCUAUGAGGUUUUCCGCGUGAUUAUUGCUAGUUGAAAAUUUUACCCAAUAUCCCGCCUUGAUGACUUGAAAUAUAGUCAGCUAUGGCAGUUUUUGACAGUCUCCUUUGAAU
Nerophis lumbriciformis (worm pipefish) is the source of this 137-nucleotide small nuclear RNA. RefSeq annotates it as U4 spliceosomal RNA. Lineage: Eukaryota; Metazoa; Chordata; Actinopteri; Syngnathiformes; Syngnathidae. The record is from RefSeq and is a predicted model, not a curated record.